Molecule: small RNA, 55 nt
Filed under: Paenibacillus sp. P22
Lineage: Bacteria; Bacillati; Bacillota; Bacilli; Caryophanales; Paenibacillaceae
Description: Termite-leu RNA
Source: RNAcentral
AAAGCCAGGACUUUAGUUCUAAAGUCCUGGCUUAUCGAUGAAAUUAAAAAUGAGC